UGGGGAAUAUUGCACAAUGGGGGAAACCCUGAUGCAGCGACGCCGCGUGAGUGAAGAAGUAUUUCGGUAUGUAAAGCUCUAUCAGCAGGGAAGAAAGAAAUGACGGUACCUGACUAAGAAGCCCCGGCUAACUACGUGCCAGCAGCCGCGGUAAUACGUAGGGGGCAAGCGUUAUCCGGAUUUACUGGGUGUAAAGGGAGCGUAGACGGCAUGGCAAGUCUGAAGUGAAAUGCCAGGGCUUAACCCUGGAACUGCUUUGGAAACUGUCUAGCUAGAGUGCAGGAGAGGUAAGUGGAAUUCCUAGUGUAGCGGUGAAAUGCGUAGAUAUUAGGAGGAACACCAGUGGCGAAGGCGGCUUACUGGACUGUAACUGACGUUGAGGCUCGAAGGCGUGGGGAGCAAACA
This 405-nucleotide ribosomal RNA is filed under the name uncultured bacterium. Its description in RNAcentral is "bacterial SSU rRNA". It matches the Rfam family "Bacterial small subunit ribosomal RNA", at positions 355 to 774 of the family's 1533-position model. The record is from RNAcentral.